Molecule: non-coding RNA, 456 nt
Organism: Jaculus jaculus (lesser Egyptian jerboa)
Lineage: Eukaryota; Metazoa; Chordata; Mammalia; Rodentia; Dipodidae
Source: the annotation of a RefSeq genome assembly
AACACAGCCCAUUGCCCUAAGGAAUUCUUAAAAGGCUGGUCACACCCUGUUUAGAAACCAGUCGCUGUCAGGACACACAUGGACAUGAGGGCCCCCACUGAGCUCCUGGUGCUUCUGCUGCUGUCGCUCCCAGGCAUGAGAUGUGACAUCCAGAUGACUCAGUCUCCAGCCUCACUUUCUGCAUCACUGGGAGAAAGUGUCUCCAUGACUUGCCGGGCCAGUCAGGGCAUUAAUUAUGGGUUAGCCUGGUACCAACAGAAACCGGGGAACUCACCUAAGCUCCUGAUAUACGCUGCAUCCACUCUACAAUCCGGCAUCCCAUCGAGGUUCAGAGGCAGUGGAUCUGGCACGGAGUUCACUCUCACCAUCAGCAGCCUGCAAUCUGAAGAUUUUGCCACUUACUACUGCCAACAGUAUAAUAGUUACCCUCUCACAAUGGUACAAGUCAUGACAUAA